Molecule: ribosomal RNA, 750 nt
Filed under: uncultured bacterium
Lineage: Bacteria
Description: bacterial SSU rRNA
Rfam family: Bacterial small subunit ribosomal RNA
Source: RNAcentral
GAUGAACGCUGGCUGUGUGCCUAAUACAUGCAUGCCGAGCGAAGCACUUUUGUGCUUAGCGGCGAAUGGGUGAGUAACACGUACUUAACCUACCCUCAAGAUUGGGACAACACUUGGAAACGAGUGCUAAUACCAAAUACGUAUUUUUAUCGCAUGAUAGAUAUAUAAAAGGAGCUUCGGCUUCACUAGAGGAUGGGAGUGCGCUACAUUAGUUAGUUGGUAGGGUAAUGGCCUACCAAGACUAUGAUGUAUAGCGGGGCCGAGAGGCUGAUCCGCCACACUGGGACUGAGAUACGGCCCAGACUCCUACGGGAGGCAGCAGUAGGGAAUUUUCCACAAUGAACGAAAGUUUGAUGGAGCGACACAGCGUGCAGGAUGAAGGUCUUCGGAUUGUAAACUGCUGUUAUAAGAGAAGAAAAACCCUGGUAGGUAAUGACCAGGACUUGACGGUACCUUAUCAGAAAGCGACGGCUAACUAUGUGCCAGCAGCCGCGGUAAUACAUAGGUCGCAAGCGUUAUCCGGAAUUAUUGGGCGUAAAGAGUUCGUAGGUGGUUUUGUAAGUCUGAAGUUAAAUACCGGGGCUCAACCCCGGCCCGCUUUGGAUACUGCAAAACUAGAGUAAUAGAGAGGUUAGUGGAACUCCAAGUGAAGCGGUGGAAUGCGUAGAUAUUUGGAAGAACACCAAUGGCGAAGGCAACUAACUGGAUAUUAACUGACACUGAGGAACGAAAGCGUGGGUAGCAAACAGG